Molecule: long non-coding RNA, 1147 nt
Filed under: Oryctolagus cuniculus (rabbit)
Lineage: Eukaryota; Metazoa; Chordata; Mammalia; Lagomorpha; Leporidae
Description: lncRNA (ENSOCUG00000032041.1)
Source: RNAcentral
CCUAGCCACUCUCCUGACCCUGUUCUGAGUGGUAAAGAAAAAAAUGCCUAGAAUGUACAGUAUUCCAUUCCCAUCUGGAAGAGGUAACCACGGGGGGGCUGGAGCUGGCCUCGGACUUGACCACCGAGCCCAUGGAGCCGAGCGCCAUGCCGGGGGUGCCCUGCUGCGAGUAGGACAUGCUGUAGGUGGGAGAGCCGUUCAUGUAGGUCUGCGAGCUGCUCAUGGAGUUGUACUGCAGCGCGCUCACGUCGUAGCGGUGCAUGGGCUGCAUCUGCGCGGCGCCGUGCGCGUUGAGGCCCGGGUGCUGCGGGUAGCCCAGCUGGUCCUGCAUCAUGCUGUAGCUGCCGUUGCUCCAGCCGUUCAUGUGCGCGUAGCUGUCCAUGCGCUGGUUCACGCCCGCGCCCAGGCCGGCGCCCACCCCGACCCCGCUCGCCAUGCUGUUGCCGCCGGGGGCCAGCAGCCCGCCGGGCAGCGUGUACUUAUCCUUCUUCAUGAGCGUCUUGGUUUUCCGCCGGGGCCGGUAUUUAUAAUCCGGGUGCUCCUUCAUGUGCAGCGCUCGCAGCCGCUUGGCCUCGUCGAUGAACGGCCGCUUCUCCGUCUCCGACAAAAGUUUCCACUCGGCGCCCAGACGCUUGCUGAUCUCCGAGUUGUGCAUCUUGGGGUUCUCCUGGGCCAUCUUGCGCCGCUGCCCGCGGGACCACACCAUGAAGGCGUUCAUGGGCCGCUUGACGCGGUCCGGGCUGUUCUUCUGGUUGCCGCCCGCCGCCGCCGCCGCGCCGUUGCCGCCGCCGCCACCGCCACCGCCGCCGCCGCCGCCGCCGCCGCCCCCCGAAGUCUGCUGCGGGCCCGGCGGCUUCAGCUCGGUCUCCAUCAUGUUGUACAUGCGGGCGCUGUGCGCGGGCCCGGCCCGCCGGGCGGCCGCCGACCCUCGGCGCGGCUGGGGACUCGGGGGGCCCGCGGGCGGGGGCGAGAGGAGGUAGGGGGAGGCGUGCGGGGUUUGCCGCGAGCGCGGGAGACCGGACGGAGAGCAAUUCUGGGGGAAGAGAAGGGAGAGAGAGGGAGAGAGGGACAGGGCAGAGAAGGGAAAAAGGUAAGCGAAUUUGGAAUCGGUAUCAAAAAAACAAGAGCUUUCUCUUCCGCCUUCCGG